RNAcentral lists this ribosomal RNA (448 nucleotides) under uncultured bacterium. Its description in RNAcentral is "bacterial SSU rRNA". It matches the Rfam family "Bacterial small subunit ribosomal RNA", at positions 32 to 489 of the family's 1533-position model. The record is from RNAcentral.
AAUCAACGCUGGCGGCGUGCCUCAGACAUGCAAGUCGAACGAUUAAAGCUCUCUUCGGAGAGUGUAUAGAGUGGCGCACGGGUGAGUAACACGUAAGUAAUCUACCUUUGAGUGGGGAAUAACCCGGGAAACCCGAGCUAAUACCGCAUAAUGCAGCGGCAUCGCAAGAUGACAGUUGUUAAAGGAGCAAUCCGCUUAAAGAGGAGCUUGCGGCAGAUUAGCUAGUUGGUAAGGUAAUGGCUUACCAAGGCUACGAUCUGUAUCCGGUCUAAGAGGACGGUCGGACACACUGACACUGAAUAACGGGUCAGACUCCUACGGGAGGCAGCAGUCGGGAAUUUUGGGCAAUGGGCGAAAGCCUGACCCAGCAACGCCGCGUGAAGGAUGAAGUAUUUCGGUAUGUAAACUUCGAAAGAAUAGGAAGAAUAAAUGACGGUACUAUUUAUAA